UACGUAGGGUGCAAGCGUUGUCCGGAAUUAUUGGGCGUAAAGAGCUCGUAGGCGGUCUGUCGCGUCGGCUGUGAAAACCCGCGGCUCAACCUCGGGCCUGCAGUCGAUACGGGCAGACUAGAGUGCGGUAGGGGAGACGUGGAAUUCCUGGUGUAGCGGUGGAAUGCGUAGAGAUCCGGAAGAACACCGGUGGCGAAGGCGGGUCUGCUGGGCAGUAGCUGACACUGAGGCGCGACAGCGUGGGGAGCAACAGG
Molecule: ribosomal RNA, 254 nt
Filed under: uncultured bacterium
Lineage: Bacteria
Description: partial 16S ribosomal RNA
Rfam family: Bacterial small subunit ribosomal RNA
Source: RNAcentral